UACGAAGGGGCUAGCGUUGUUCGGAAUUACUGGGCGUAAAGCGCACGUAGGCGGCUUUGUAAGUUAGAGGUGAAAGCCCGGGGGCUCAACUCCGGAAUUGCCUUUAAGACUGCAUCGCUAGAAUUGUGGAGAGGUAAGUGGAAUUCCGAGUGUAGAGGUGAAAUUCGUAGAUAUUCGGAAGAACACCAGUGGCGAAGGCGACUUACUGGACACAUAUUGACGCUGAGGUGCGAAAGCGUGGGGAGCGAACAGGA
Molecule: ribosomal RNA, 254 nt
Filed under: uncultured bacterium
Lineage: Bacteria
Description: partial 16S ribosomal RNA
Rfam family: Bacterial small subunit ribosomal RNA
Source: RNAcentral